GAUGAAGAACGUAGCGAAAUGCGAUAAGUAAUGUGAAUUGCAGAAUUCAGUGAAUCAUCGAAUCUUUGAACGCACAUUGCGCCCGCCAGAAUACUGGCGGGCAUGCCUCUCCGAGCGUCAUUUCAACCCUCGAACCCCUCCGGGGGGUCGGCGUUGGGGAUCGGCCCUCCCUUAGCGGGUGGCCGUGUCCGAAAUACAGUGGCGGUCUCGCCGCAGCCUCUCCUGCGCAGUAGUUUGCACACUCGCAUCGGGAGCGCGGCGCGUCCACAGCCGUUAAACACCCAACUUCUGAAAUGUUGACCUCGGAUCAGGUAGGAAUACCCGCUGAACUUAAGCAUAUCAAUAAGCGGAGGA
Molecule: unclassified non-coding RNA, 354 nt
Filed under: soil metagenome
Description: partial contains 5.8S ribosomal RNA, internal transcribed spacer 2, and large subunit ribosomal RNA
Rfam family: 5.8S ribosomal RNA (bases 1-120)
Source: RNAcentral